This 113-nucleotide ribosomal RNA is filed under the name uncultured eukaryote. Its description in RNAcentral is "partial 18S ribosomal RNA". It matches the Rfam family "Eukaryotic small subunit ribosomal RNA", at positions 1302 to 1431 of the family's 1831-position model. The record is from RNAcentral.
UGGAGUGAUUUGUCUGGUUAAUUCCGUUAACGAACGAAACCUCGACCUGCUGAAUAGUCCGGCGAGUCGUUAUCGGAUUCGUGCAAGACUUCUUAGAGGGACUUAGCUUAACA